UGCCAGCAGCCGCGGUAAUACGAAGGGGGCUAGCGUUGCUCGGCAUCACUGGGCGUAAAGCGCACGUAGGCGGCUUUCUAAGUCAGGGGUGAAAUCCUGGAGCUCAACUCCAGAACUGCCUUUGAUACUGGAGAGCUGGAGUCCGGAAGAGGUGAGUGGAACUCCGAGUGUAGAGGUGAAAUUCGUAGAUAUUCGGAAGAACACCAGUGGCGAAGGCGGCUCACUGGUCCGGUACUGACGCUGAGGUGCGAAAGCGUGGGGAGCAAACAGGAUUAGAUA
This 279-nucleotide ribosomal RNA is filed under the name uncultured bacterium. RNAcentral describes it as "partial 16S ribosomal RNA". It matches the Rfam family "Bacterial small subunit ribosomal RNA", at positions 506 to 784 of the family's 1533-position model. The record is from RNAcentral.